Non-coding RNA from Prunus avium (sweet cherry), 213 nucleotides. The record is from RefSeq and is a predicted model, not a curated record. Lineage: Eukaryota; Viridiplantae; Streptophyta; Magnoliopsida; Rosales; Rosaceae.
CAAACGACUGCAGCAGAGAUUGGUGGUGUCCAUGGCCAAUAGAACGUGUGGAUGUUCCACAACAAUCUAAUCAAGGCGAUUGUGGCAUGUUUGUGUUGAAGUACAUUGAGCUUUUGAGCGCUGAGAUUCCGUUAGCUACUUGCACCGCGCAGAACAUGCCCUUUUUCCGGUUGAAGUUGGCUGCAGAGAUAUUACGGGGAGAUGCUUACAUGC